Rosa rugosa (rugosa rose) is the source of this 978-nucleotide long non-coding RNA. RefSeq lists it as uncharacterized. NCBI's taxonomy places the organism in Eukaryota, Viridiplantae, Streptophyta, Magnoliopsida, Rosales, Rosaceae. The record is from RefSeq and is a predicted model, not a curated record. The transcript is spliced from 3 exons.
CUUAAAUUACCAAUUUACAAGUUAGUUGGACGGUAAACGACCGUUAUUUUCACUUUUACUGUCGUUUAAGUACUUUUAGUGGCCCUAAAAGUUGACUUUUUGAUCGGGCCAAAAUUUGAGAAAAUUUCCUUCAUGAAAGUUGUAGAGGACGUUAACUCGAGCGCGUGCAUAUGUGGUGCGUAAAAAUUGGAGUUCGGAUGUGAAAGUUAUAAGCGAAAUAGUAAAGUUACUGUUUAUUGGUAGAAAGUAUAAAUUUGAAUUUUUACUGUUGGGGGCCGGUAACUUUCUUUUCCUCUCUCUCUCCUCCUCCCCGUGCUUUCCUCUCUCUUUCGGCGAUCUGCAGCUCCGGCCUUCUCUCUUUUUCCGGCCACCUGGUGGUGCAAGCUUGGUGUCAGUAGACUCGCCUCCUCCCCCUUGUUGCAUAUGUGGUGGUGUUUUGCAGAGUUUUGGCCGGAGGAGCUCGAUUUGGAGCCAAGAAGAUUACUGUAGCAGUUACCAUUUCCGGCGAUAUCUUCCGAUUCCGGCCGUCUCCGGCCACCAAACCGGCGUCGAAGGAGCGGUUUUUCCCAAGGAUCAUGUUGCCCCUAGCCUUGAGCCACGAUUUGCAGUGUGGAGGUCGAAUCGAAGGUUUGAAAUUCCGAGUUACUAUUCACAAUUCGGGUUCAAACUUCUCUUUAAUUGUUGAGGAUAUCGUACCGAGCCCUGGCUCGAUGAAGGAACUCGUAUACGUGAUCGUCGGAAUAGUACUUUUGCAGGCGAAAUUAGUUGAGGUCGGGCGUACAUUGGAGUUGAGGCAUAGUCAACAGCCUAGCUUCCGCGGUUGCCUUUGAGUUAGGUUGUCAUUAUUUACCUUUCUAUUAGAAUUGCUCUGAUUACCUAUGGGAUUUAUGUUUUUCAAGUUGAGGUUUGUGUUUUGUGAAUUGGAGAUUGGUGUUGAGUUGGGGAGCAGGGUGGCUCCAGAAGUAUAAGGAUGAUUUG